This 316-nucleotide long non-coding RNA is filed under the name Salmo salar (Atlantic salmon). Its description in RNAcentral is "lncRNA (ENSSSAG00000119350.1)". Lineage: Eukaryota; Metazoa; Chordata; Actinopteri; Salmoniformes; Salmonidae. The record is from RNAcentral.
CACUAAUAUCACCAUCCAGUAGGUUCUACAUCACUACACUGACAUCACCAUCCAGUAGGUUCUACAUCACUAAUAUCACCACCCAGCAGGUUCUACAUCACUAAUAUCACCAUCCAGUAGGUUCUACAUCACUAAUAUCACCACCCAGUAGGUUCUACAUCACUAAUAUCACCAUCCAGUAGGUUCUACAUCACUAAUAUCCCCAUCCAGUAGGUUCUACAUCACUAAUAUCACCAUCCAGUAGGUUCUACAUCACUACACUGACAUCACCAUCCAGUAGGUUCUACAUCACUAAUAUCACCAUCCAGCAGGUUCU